CCUACGGGGGGCAGCAGUGGGGAAUAUUGGACAAUGGGCGCAAGCCUGAUCCAGCAAUACCGCGUGUGUGAAGAAGGCCUGAGGGUUGUAAAGCACUUUUAAUCGGGAGGAAUAGCGGUCGGUUAAUACCCGGUCGUCUGACAUUACCGAUAGAAAAAGCACCGGCUAACUCCGUGCCAGCAGCCGCGGUAAUACGGAGGGUACAUGCGUUAAUCGGAAUUACUGGAGGCGAAGCGUGCGUUCACGUGUGAAAGCCCCGGGCUUAACCUGGGAACGGCAUUUGAAACUGAUCGACUAGAGUUGGGUAGAGGGGAGUGGAAUUUCAGGUGUAGCGGUGAAAUGCGUAGAUAUCUGAAGGAACACCAGUGGCGAAGGCGGCUCCCUGGACCCAAACUGACGCUGAGGCACGAAAGCGUGGGUAGCAAACAGGAUUAGAUACCCGGGUAGUC
RNAcentral lists this ribosomal RNA (449 nucleotides) under uncultured bacterium. Its description in RNAcentral is "partial 16S ribosomal RNA". It matches the Rfam family "Bacterial small subunit ribosomal RNA", at positions 338 to 795 of the family's 1533-position model. The record is from RNAcentral.